AUAUAAGCACCAUGUGCUAUAAAGUAGCAAGGGAAGGGGCUCCUGGCUGGAGGGACUCUGCCUGAUUCUUUGUACCAGGGGCUCUCUUUGUGCACAUGUUGAAUAAAGCUUUAUUGAAUUGAAUCGCAUUGGAUCAAAGUCCCAUGAUUUCUACUCAGCAUCAGACUCACUGGGAACCACCAAAUCCCAACAAGACAUAGCACACAACAGCCUUUUAACUUACCUGAAGACUUACACUUCAGGAGCAGUGAGAUGGCUUUGUAAUAAAACAGAAUAGGAGGAAACCCUAGAAAUGGAAAAACAUCCUGGAUCAUGUGAUUUUUGCUGCAUUCUGCAAUAUUCUACACAUUCUAAAUUUUCACUUUGAAAAAUCAAGCUUGUCUUUUUUCUGUUGUGAAGCUGCAACUGUCAUGAUGUGAAAAGAUGUGUUGCUACCUUGUUAAUGAACCAACCUUGUGCAAAAACAACAACAACAAAAGAAACCUGUAGCUGGGCAAACAACAUUGGCAACAAAUCUGAGAACUCCCAAGUCCCACCCAUUAACCAAUUGGCAAGCACUUUAAGGUGACAGCUGACGAUGGACAUCUCAUGUGGAAGAAAAAAAUGGUGUCUAAAAUUAAUGAACAUUGUGGUUGG
Gopherus flavomarginatus (Mexican gopher tortoise) is the source of this 636-nucleotide long non-coding RNA. RefSeq lists it as uncharacterized. The transcript is spliced from 3 exons. Lineage: Eukaryota; Metazoa; Chordata; Testudines; Testudinidae. The record is from RefSeq and is a predicted model, not a curated record.